NNNNNNNNNNNNNNNNNNNNNNNNNNNNCCGGGGUGAAGCCGGGGCUUGGGGGCGACGCUGGACGUGCGAUGGCGACACGAGACGGAGACGAGACGGAGCGGCCCGGGGCGCGGGCGGGAGUGCGGGUGGGUGCUGGCGAGCGCGGGGACCCCACGGUGGGGGCAGCGGGACCGGGCUGUGCCCCCCCCCAUUCCCCCCCACCACGGGGUAGGCUGCCACAGGGCACCGGCGCGGCCACGCGUGGGCAGGCGGCGAGAACGGGCAGCGCGUGCGGGGACCCACGGGCGUCGUGUGGCCACGGCGGGGCACUGCGCCGGCACGGCAUGGCACGGGCAGUGCACGGGCAUUGCACCAACGCGGCACGGGCAUUGCACCAACACGGCACGGGCAUUGCACGGGCAUUGCACCAACACGGCACGGGCAGUGCACGGGCAUUGUACGGGCAUUGCACCAACGCGGCACGGCCACUGCAUGGGCACCGCGCCGAAACGGCACGGGCACUGCGCCAACACGUUACGGGCACGGCCCGGGCACCGCACGGCGUUGCACUGGUGCAACACAACCACUGCACGUGCACUGCACCACGGCGCGGCUGUUGCGUGGGCGUUGCACGUGCACUGCAGCAGCACAGCGUGCCCACCGCGUGGCAUUGCACCGCCACGGCACGGGCGUCGCACAGCUUUGUGCACGCGCGUCGCACCGCGGUGUGGCCGUUGCACGGGCGCUGCAUGUGCACGGCGCCAGCACGGCGUGGCAGUGCACCAGCAGGGCACGCGCAUUGCACGCGCGUCACACACGCAUGGCACCGGCACGGCACAUGCCCUGCACCGGCAGGGCACGCUCAUUGCACAUGCGCUGCACCGUGGCACGGCCGUUGCACGGGCAUUGCACCGCCACGGCAUGGCUGUUGCAUGUCACGGCACCGCUGCAGCGUGGCCACUGCGGGGGGGGGGGCACCGUGCCCCCCGGGGGGGGCACAGCUCCUGCCCCCAGCCCGAAGGCACGUGGUAAGGCCGGCUGUUGGCACGCGCGCGCCGAGCGUGACCGCGAGCAUCGGGUCGGGUGCCGGGGGGCUGGGGGGGGGGACGGGACACGACGC
RNAcentral lists this long non-coding RNA (1100 nucleotides) under Anser cygnoides (Swan goose). RNAcentral describes it as "lncRNA (ENSACDG00005011464.1)". Lineage: Eukaryota; Metazoa; Chordata; Aves; Anseriformes; Anatidae. The record is from RNAcentral.